RNAcentral lists this ribosomal RNA (2904 nucleotides) under Escherichia coli DEC12E. RNAcentral describes it as "bacterial LSU rRNA". It matches the Rfam family "Bacterial large subunit ribosomal RNA". The record is from RNAcentral. Lineage: Bacteria; Pseudomonadati; Pseudomonadota; Gammaproteobacteria; Enterobacterales; Enterobacteriaceae.
UUAAGCGACUAAGCGUACACGGUGGAUGCCCUGGCAGUCAGAGGCGAUGAAGGACGUGCUAAUCUGCGAUAAGCGUCGGUAAGGUGAUAUGAACCGUUAUAGCCGGCGAUUUCCGAAUGGGGAAACCCAGUGUGAUUCGUCACACUAUCAUUAACUGAAUCCAUAGGUUAAUGAGGCGAACCGGGGGAACUGAAACAUCUAAGUACCCCGAGGAAAAGAAAUCAACCGAGAUUCCCCCAGUAGCGGCGAGCGAACGGGGAGCAGCCCAGAGCCUGAAUCAGUGUGUGUGUUAGUGGAAGCGUCUGGAAAGGCGCGCGAUACAGGGUGACAGCCCCGUACACAAAAAUGCACAUGCUGUGAGCUCGAUGAGUAGGGCGGGACACGUGGUAUCCUGUCUGAAUAUGGGGGGACCAUCCUCCAAGGCUAAAUACUCCUGACUGACCGAUAGUGAACCAGUACCGUGAGGGAAAGGCGAAAAGAACCCCGGCGAGGGGAGUGAAAAAGAACCUGAAACCGUGUACGUACAAGCAGUGGGAGCACAGAGCAAUCUGUGUGACUGCGUACCUUUUGUAUAAUGGGUCAGCGACUUAUAUUCUGUAGCAAGGUUAACCGAAUAGGGGAGCCGAAGGGAAACCGAGUCUUAACUGGGCGUUAAGUUGCAGGGUAUAGACCCGAAACCCGGUGAUCUAGCCAUGGGCAGGUUGAAGGUUGGGUAACACUAACUGGAGGACCGAACCGACUAAUGUUGAAAAAUUAGCGGAUGACUUGUGGCUGGGGGUGAAAGGCCAAUCAAACCGGGAGAUAGCUGGUUCUCCCCGAAAGCUAUUUAGGUAGCGCCUCGUGAAUUCAUCUCCGGGGGUAGAGCACUGUUUCGGCAAGGGGGUCAUCCCGACUUACCAACCCGAUGCAAACUGCGAAUACCGGAGAAUGUUAUCACGGGAGACACACGGCGGGUGCUAACGUCCGUCGUGAAGAGGGAAACAACCCAGACCGCCAGCUAAGGUCCCAAAGUCAUGGUUAAGUGGGAAACGAUGUGGGAAGGCCCAGACAGCCAGGAUGUUGGCUUAGAAGCAGCCAUCAUUUAAAGAAAGCGUAAUAGCUCACUGGUCGAGUCGGCCUGCGCGGAAGAUGUAACGGGGCUAAACCAUGCACCGAAGCUGCGGCAGCGACGCUGAUGCGUUGUUGGGUAGGGGAGCGUUCUGUAAGCCUGCGAAGGUGUGCUGUGAGGCAUGCUGGAGGUAUCAGAAGUGCGAAUGCUGACAUAAGUAACGAUAAAGCGGGUGAAAAGCCCGCUCGCCGGAAGACCAAGGGUUCCUGUCCAACGUUAAUCGGGGCAGGGUGAGUCGACCCCUAAGGCGAGGCCGAAAGGCGUAGUCGAUGGGAAACAGGUUAAUAUUCCUGUACUUGGUGUUACUGCGAAGGGGGGUCGGAGAAGGCUAUGUUGGCCGGGCGACGGUUGUCCCGGUUUAAGCGUGUAGGCUGGUUUUCCAGGCAAAUCCGGAAAAUCAAGGCUGAGGCGUGAUGACGAGGCACUACGGUGCUGAAGCAACAAAUGCCCUGCUUCCAGGAAAAGCCUCUAAGCAUCAGGUAACAUCAAAUCGUACCCCAAACCGACACAGGUGGUCAGGUAGAGAAUACCAAGGCGCUUGAGAGAACUCGGGUGAAGGAACUAGGCAAAAUGGUGCCGUAACUUCGGGAGAAGGCACGCUGAUAUGUAGGUGAAGUCCCUCGCGGAUGGAGCUGAAAUCAGUCGAAGAUACCAGCUGGCUGCAACUGUUUAUUAAAAACACAGCACUGUGCAAACACGAAAGUGGACGUAUACGGUGUGACGCCUGCCCGGUGCCGGAAGGUUAAUUGAUGGGGUCAGCGCAAGCGAAGCUCUUGAUCGAAGCCCCGGUAAACGGCGGCCGUAACUAUAACGGUCCUAAGGUAGCGAAAUUCCUUGUCGGGUAAGUUCCGACCUGCACGAAUGGCGUAAUGAUGGCCAGGCUGUCUCCACCCGAGACUCAGUGAAAUUGAACUCGCUGUGAAGAUGCAGUGUACCCGCGGCAAGACGGAAAGACCCCGUGAACCUUUACUAUAGCUUGACACUGAACAUUGAGCCUUGAUGUGUAGGAUAGGUGGGAGGCUUUGAAGUGUGGACGCCAGUCUGCAUGGAGCCGGCCUUGAAAUACCACCCUUUAAUGUUUGAUGUUCUAACGUUGACCCGUAAUCCGGGUUGCGGACAGUGUCUGGUGGGUAGUUUGACUGGGGCGGUCUCCUCCUAAAGAGUAACGGAGGAGCACGAAGGUUGGCUAAUCCUGGUCGGACAUCAGGAGGUUAGUGCAAUGGCAUAAGCCAGCUUGACUGCGAGCGUGACGGCGCGAGCAGGUGCGAAAGCAGGUCAUAGUGAUCCGGUGGUUCUGAAUGGAAGGGCCAUCGCUCAACGGAUAAAAGGUACUCCGGGGAUAACAGGCUGAUACCGCCCAAGAGUUCAUAUCGACGGCGGUGUUUGGCACCUCGAUGUCGGCUCAUCACAUCCUGGGGCUGAAGUAGGUCCCAAGGGUAUGGCUGUUCGCCAUUUAAAGUGGUACGCGAGCUGGGUUUAGAACGUCGUGAGACAGUUCGGUCCCUAUCUGCCGUGGGCGCUGGAGAACUGAGGGGGGCUGCUCCUAGUACGAGAGGACCGGAGUGGACGCAUCACUGGUGUUCGGGUUGUCAUGCCAAUGGCACUGCCCGGUAGCUAAAUGCGGAAGAGAUAAGUGCUGAAAGCAUCUAAGCACGAAACUUGCCCCGAGAUGAGUUCUCCCUGACUCCUUGAGAGUCCUGAAGGAACGUUGAAGACGACGACGUUGAUAGGCCGGGUGUGUAAGCGCAGCGAUGCGUUGAGCUAACCGGUACUAAUGAACCGUGAGGCUUAACCUU